UUUAAAUUGAGAGUUUGAUCCUGGCUCAGGAUGAACGCUGGUGGCGUGCCUAAUACAUGCAAGUCGUACGCUAGCCGCUGAAUUGAUCCUUCGGGUGAAGUGAGGCAAUGACUAGAGUGGCGAACUGGUGAGUAACACGUAAGAAACCUGCCCUUUAGUGGGGGAUAACAUUUGGAAACAGAUGCUAAUACCGCGUAACAACAAAUCACACAUGUGAUCUGUUUGAAAGGUCCUUUUGGAUCGCUAGAGGAUGGUCUUGCGGCGUAUUAGCUUGUUGGUAGGGUAGAAGCCUACCAAGGCAAUGAUGCGUAGCCGAGUUGAGAGACUGGCCGGCCACAUUGGGACUGAGACACUGCCCAAACUCCUACGGGAGGCUGCAGUAGGGAAUUUUCCGCAAUGCACGAAAGUGUGACGGAGCGACGCCGCGUGUGUGAUGAAGGCUUUCGGGUCGUAAAGCACUGUUGUAAGGGAAGAAUAACUGAAUUCAGAGAAAGUUUUCAGCUUGACGGUACCUUACCAGAAAGGGAUGGCUAAAUACGUGCCAGCAGCCGCGGUAAUACGUAUGUCCCGAGCGUUAUCCGGAUUUAUUGGGCGUAAAGCGAGCGCAGACGGUUUAUUAAGUCUGAUGUGAAAUCCCGAGGCCCAACCUCGGAACUGCAUUGGAAACUGAUUUACUUGAGUGCGAUAGAGGCAAGUGGAACUCCAUGUGUAGCGGUGAAAUGCGUAGAUAUGUGGAAGAACACCAGUGGCGAAAGCGGCUUGCUAGAUCGUAACUGACGUUGAGGCUCGAAAGUAUGGGUAGCAAACGGGAUUAGAUACCCCGGUAGUCCAUACCGUAAACGAUGGGUGCUAGUUGUUAAGAGGUUUCCGCCUCCUAGUGACGUAGCAAACGCAUUAAGCACCCCGCCUGAGGAGUACGGCCGCAAGGCUAAAACUUAAAGGAAUUGACGGGGACCCGCACAAGCGGUGGAGCAUGUGGUUUAAUUCGAAGAUACGCGAAAAACCUUACCAGGUCUUGACAUACCAAUGAUCGCUUUUGUAAUGAAAGCUUUUCUUCGGAACAUUGGAUACAGGUGGUGCAUGGUCGUCGUCAGCUCGUGU
Molecule: ribosomal RNA, 1101 nt
Filed under: Oenococcus oeni
Lineage: Bacteria; Bacillati; Bacillota; Bacilli; Lactobacillales; Lactobacillaceae
Description: bacterial SSU rRNA
Rfam family: Bacterial small subunit ribosomal RNA
Source: RNAcentral